AAGGUACAUCAUUUCUAAUUUCUGCUUUUUGAUUUGUAAUAUUAUUCUUUUAUAUUGCAUCUUAAACAUUCCUGUUAGUUAUGUUAUAGUUUUUGGAGAACUGUUUAAGCCACCCUUAUCAAAACCUAAAAUUAGUAAAAGCUCUCGGUUCAUGAGGACUGAUUUGAACUUAUCAACCUGGCAAUUGAAACUAAGGCCUGAUUGCUAAUGUUGUAAAUUUUUAAAUAAUUGUUAUUAGUUGCCGUAGAAAUAAUCAGCUGUAAAGAAAAUCAAUUAAACAUUUGGUAAAAUUUAUUUUUAAAAGCUUAAAAACAGCUCAGUGUGUUUAGUAAAUUUAACUGCCUUAAGAAUAUAAAUAACUGAAUUAGACAUAAUGUUAAAUAAAAUUUUAUUUGUACAUUUACAAACAUGUAUAUAAAAUUCUUUUAUUGUGUAUGUAUAAUAAUUGAUAACUAAAAUAAAUAUUUUAUAUUAUUAAGUUUAUUUGUUUUUAUUUUGUUACCUCAAUAUAAUUGGUAAUAAAUAUAAUCUCUUUAAAAUUAAUAAUUUUUAUUUUCUAAUUAAUAAGGAUAAUUUUGAAUUUUUAUAAUAUAUAUUUGUACUAGGGUAUAUAUGAAAUCGUAUUAAAUUAAAAACUGAUUCUUAAAAUUAGAUUUUGAAAAAUUACUCUCUCGCCGCUUUUCAAAUCUACCGUGAGAUGAGGUGAUUUUGUCAAAAAUGUUUUUUAAAAAAUUCAUUAAAUAUCAAAAUUUGCUUUUAACUUUUUAAAUCACUUUUGAACUUCUCAAAGCAAUCCUAAACAGGCCCUAUGAAUGUUACUAACUACGCGUAACUUCCAAGCUUCUAUCUAAUCCGGCUUUUGGCAACUUAAAAUAAUAAUUAUGUAUACAAUAUAGAGUACUCUAUGAACUGGCAGUGGUAAGUGCCUACUGAUGGUUAAUGAGUAAGCAAGAUAUCAUUGUACCGUUUUUUCCAUCCUUUGUACCUUUUGAUUUUGAUUUUUAAUUUUUUUUAAACCUUAGCAACUAUCUAGGAUAGUUUCUGAUUUUUCACUUAAAUUCUUUUGUCAACAUAAAGCCGAAAGACUUUAAGUAAGCAAACGUCAACAUGAAAGUUGGGAGGGAUUUUAUUUUGGGUGGUCAUACAAGCUAGUAGCCCUUUGCUUUUUUGGUAUUGUUUUCUACCUACCAAUGACUUGGAUUGGUUUGUGAGACGGUGAAAAUUGUUUUAAUGGAACUUACAAUACAGAGUACUCUAUGAACUGGCAGUGGUAAGUGCCUACUGAUGGUUAAUGAGUAAGCAAGAUAUCAUUGUACCGUUUUUUCCAUCCUUUGUACAUCUUGAUUUUGAUUUUCUAUUUUUUUAAGCCUUAGCAACUAUCUAGGAUAGUUUCUGAUUUUUCACUUAAAUUCUUUUGUCAACAUAAAGCUGAAAGACUUUAUAUAAGCAGACGUCAACAUGAAAGUUGGGAGGGAUUUUAUUUUGGGUGGUCAUACAAGCUAGUAGCCCUUUGCUUUUUUGGUAUUUUUUUCUACCUACCAAUGACUUGGAUUGGUUCGUAAGACGGUGAAAAUUGUUUUAAUGGAACUUACAAUACAGAGUACUCUAUGAACUGGCAGUGGUAAGUGCCUACUGAUGGUUAAUGAGUAAGCAAGAUAUCAUUGUACCGUUUUUUCCAUCCUUUGUACCUUUUGAUUUAGAUUUUUAAUUUUUUUUAAACCUUAGCAACUAUCUAGGAUAGUUUCUGAUUUUUCACUUAAAUUCUUUUGUCAACAUAAAGCCGAAAGACUUUAAGUAAGCAAACGUCAACAUGAAAGUUGGGAGGGAUUUUAUUUUGGGUGGUCAUACAAGCUAGUAGCCCUUUGCGUUUUUGGUAUUUUUUUCUUCCUACCAAUGACUUGGAUUGGUUCGUGAGACGGUGAAAAUUGUUUUAGUGGAACUUACAAUACAGAGUACUCCAUGAACUGGCAGUGGUAAGUGCCUACUGAUGGUUAAUGAGUAAGCAAGAUAUCAUUGUACCGUUUUUUCCAUCCUUUGUACCUUUUGAUUUUGAUUUUUAAUUUUUUUUAAACCUUAGCAACUAUCUGGGAUUCUUUGUACAUUUUGAUUUUGAUUUUCAAUUUUUUUAAGCCUUAGCAACUAUCUAGGAUAGUUUCUGAUUUUUCACUUAAAUUCUUUUGUCAACAUUAAGCCGAAAGACCUUAGGUAAGCACAUGUCAACAUGAAAGUUGGGAGUGAUUUUAUUUUGGGUGGUCGUACAAGCUAGUAGCCCUUUGCUUUUUUGGUAUUUUUUUCUACCUACCAAUGACUUGGAUUGGUUCGUAAGACGGUGAAAAUUGUUUUAAUGGAACUUACAAUACAGAUUACUCUACGAACUGGCAGUGGUAAGUGCCUACUGAUAGUUAAUUAGUAAGCAAGAUAUCAUUGUACUGUUUUUUCCAUCCUUUGUUCCUUUUGAUUUUGAUUUUUAAUUUUUUUUAACCUUUGCAACCAUCUAGGAUAGUUUCUGAUUUUUCACUUAAAUUCUUUUGUCAACAUAAAGCUGAAAGACUUUAUAUAAGCAGACGUCAACAUGAAAGUUGGGAGGGAUUUUAUUUUGGGUGGUCAUACAAGCUAGUAGCCCUUUGCUUUUUUGGUAUUUUUUUCUACCUACCAAUGACUUGGAUUGGUUCGUAAGACGGUGAAAAUUGUUUUAAUGGAACUUACAAUACAGAUUACUCUACGAACUGGCAGUGGUAAGUGCCUACUGAUAGUUAAUUAGUAAGCAAGAUAUCAUUGUACUGUUUUUUCCAUCCUUUGUUCCUUUUGAUUUUGAUUUUUAAUUUUUUUUAACCUUGAGCCCGUGCUGCCUGAUGAUUCAAACGAGAGUCAGAGGACGCGUGCUCUCUUAGAAGGGGACAUUUUUGUAAUGACCAUCUACAGGGCCAAAGGUAAACACAGGACUGAACAAGAGUUUAAGCAACUUGGUCUCUCUGCUGGUUUUCCACACUUGAGAGCUUUUUAUGUCGAUUAUUUUCACA
Molecule: long non-coding RNA, 3020 nt
Filed under: Citrus sinensis (sweet orange)
Lineage: Eukaryota; Viridiplantae; Streptophyta; Magnoliopsida; Sapindales; Rutaceae
Description: long non-coding RNA (CSIN_LNC004274)
Source: RNAcentral